This 3080-nucleotide long non-coding RNA is filed under the name Sus scrofa (pig). Its description in RNAcentral is "lncRNA (ENSSSCG00060003379.1)". Lineage: Eukaryota; Metazoa; Chordata; Mammalia; Artiodactyla; Suidae. The record is from RNAcentral.
GUUUUCCACUGAGGUCCAGGAGGUAAAGAGCACAGCAGUAUGGAGGGCCACUUGGUAACUAGGUCCCCUGUAGUUAGUUAUCCACUCUCCCGAGCUGUCCACACUGCACCUCUGGCAAUUUUUCCAUUACUGAAAACUGAGCUUUCUCUACCCAGGCACUGGUCCCUAGGGAAGCUGCUGCUCUGCUAAGUUGAGAUUCUCUGUAUUCUCCUGUCCUGCCAGUUCUGGGGCACUAGUUUGCCCUGUGUGACCUCAGUUCCCUUAGGGAUCCAAGAAAAGUUGUUCAUUUUUCAGGUUGUUCAGCUUUUAUCUAUUGUUAGGAUGCAGGAAAUUUCGAAGCUUGUUACAUGUUGGACCAGAAAUAUGAAGUCUUUUUCCUUAAUUGAGGUAAAACGCUCAUCACAAAAACUUAACUAUUAUAAAUUUAAUAAUUAAGUAGCAUUUCAUAUAUUCACAAUAUUGUACAACUACCACCUCUAUAUAGUUCCAAAAUUUUUUCAUCAUCUUAAAAGGAAACUCCAUACCAUUAAAUGGUCACUCCCUCCCCAGCCCCUGGCAACCAGUAAUCAAUUUUAUCACCAUGGAUUUAUUUAUGCAAGAUAUUUCAAGUAAAUAGAAUCAUUAAAUAUGUCACGUUUUUGUCUAGCAUCUUUAACUUAGCACAGUGUUUUAAAAAUUCAUCUACAGGAGUUCCCAUUGUAGCUCAACAGUAACAAACCUGGCUAGGGUCCAUGAGGAUGCAGUUCGAUCCCUGGCCUCACUAAGUGGGUUAAGGAUCUGGCGUUGCCAUGAGCUGUGCUGUAGGUCACAGAUGAGUCUCAGAUCCCACAUUGCUGCAGCUGUGGAGUAGGCUGGCAGCUGCAGCUCCAAUUCAACCUCUAGCCUGGGAACUUUCAUACGCCAAGGCUGUGGCCCUAAAGAGCAAAAAAAAAAAAAAAAAAAAAAAAAAAUUUACAUAAGAAAUAAAUAUUCAUCUACAUAGUAGCAUACAUCAAUACUUCAUUCCUUUUUAGGGUUGAAUACUAUUACAUUGUAUGGAUAUACCACAUUUUAUUCAUUCAUCAGGUGAUAAACAUUCUGUGCUUUUUCUGCUAUCCAGAACAGAAAUUCUAAAAUGUCCUCAGGGUCCAGUCCCCCUCACUAAGACCUCCCAGGCCCAACCACUGUGAUAUCAUGCAAUGCACAUUCUGAACAGACACUAGACAGACCACCUGCUCCAGCCCUUCCAAGUGAAGACAGUGACCUUCCUCAUAUCAGAGACAAGAAAUAUACAACAUUUAGUGACUGACAUUUUGGGGUUUAGUUGUCAGAUUUGAAAAAAAAGAGACAAAUAUAGAAUAUAGCCAGAAAGUGGUAGAAUUUUGUCUUGGGAAACAAGAAGGGGGGAGGGGGGAACAGGUAAAAAGGAGUUGCCUUUCAAUCAACUGUACCAUGAGCAGGAAUAAAGCUAAGUUGUAUAGUUUAUGUUACAUUCCCCCCAAACAGAAAUAAUCAUUCCCAUUAUACCAACAGGGUGAUUUCAGAAGUUCAGGAAGGCUUCUGAGAAAACUAGCCAGAGAAAUAAGUCCAUCUUUACCACCUGAUGUCUUCUUGCCCAUUGGGUUGUUUGUAAGAGUACUUCCCAGAGAAGAUGUGCAAAAUGAAGCAGACGCUGGAGUGAUACAGGGUCCUAAGCCAAGGAAUGUGGGCAGCCUCGAAGCUGGAAAGGUAAGAAAACAGAUUUCCCCUACAGCCUCUAGAAGGAGCACAGCCCUUGCCAACACCUUGAUUUUAGCUCAGUAAGACCUAGCUUGGACUUCUGACUUCCAAAAUGGAAGAUAGUAAGUCAGUAAGUCUGUGUCAUUUUAAGCCACUUAGCAUGCAAUAAUUUGUUACAGCGGUAACAAGAAACCAACAGAGUCAUCACAAAUACCCAGCAUUCCUGCAGUUUACCAACCAGCCACCCACAUGUGCUAAGGCUCUCUUGAGAAGUUGGUCGUUCUCCAGGGGGAUGGCAUCUGUGCCUUCUUGACACGAUGUGCUGUCUGCAAGCAAGAGAGCAGACCAACACACACAAAGCAAAGACCAGGACAAAAAGCAAGAGCACACACAUGUGUGCAUGCACAUACAGAAACCGGGACUUAGAAGGAAAAAUUGACCCUGAAGUUUGCUACCACUGGAAUCAGGGGGCGUCGGGGACUUUAAGGAUCACAAAUUUUGCAUGUCUGCCCUAAAACAUUUCACAGCACUGGCAAAUCAGAUGGGCCCUGGUGAAAGGAUUUAACAGGCAACUACCCUGGGUGGUAAAGCUCAGAAAUGAACUUUCAAUUCUCCUAAUUUUCCAGUUAAAUGAAUCCAAUUCUCUCCACCAAGAGGAGAGAACUCCCCCAAACUAAGAAAACUCCCUUUUCCACAUAACAACUGAUAUGCUAAAGAUAAAACGAGGCUACAUGAUGGCUUCGUUACCCUUGUUGCAAUCCAUCUGCCAAAUUUUGUUUAACAAGUAGGAUAAAUUCAAGAGAAAUAAAUAGUUUUCUGCAAACCCUCAUGUCCACACAGGUAUACUUUAAAUGAGCUAUGCUUGACAUAAAGCGCGCGCGCACACACACACACACACACACACUUACUUUCUCAAUUUCCUGGCAAUGUACUCCUGCUUAAAUACACAAUCAUGAAGCACAGAGAGAGAUGCAAAUCAUUCUUCCUCCUCCUCACUCCCUCUUAACUCCCCCCCUCCUCCCCUUCCCUCUGAGUCUUGUUCCUCUGGGAACUCAGACCCAAACCAAUCCUGCUCCUUACCAGCUGCCAGCUCCUAAGAACCCUCAAAACUCGCCCUCACAACUGUCAUCCUCUUAAAACAGCACAUAAAUCAGCAACAAAAACUCACUCAACUUCAAACCAGCCCAUUCCAACAUUAAUAGUGCCUUUGUUGUCAAUAAACCUAUAUUUGACUUCUCCUAUUUUUAUGUGGAUUUUAUUUAUAAAUUACUAAUGCUUUUCCUGGAGCAAAAUGGUCAGAGUAAUAGUCUGCACUGUAUUCCAACAGCUACAAAAGACAAAAAAAAAAAAAAUACAGUUCAAACUGAGUCAAUAAGAGAGAA